AACGUAGGGGGCCAGCGUUGCUCGGAAUUACUGGGCGUAAAGGGUUCGUAGGCGGUGCGGCAAGUUGGGGGUGAAAUCCCCGGGCUUAACUCGGGGGCUGCCUCCAAAACUGCCGUGCUCGAGUGCGGGAGAGGCGAGUGGAAUUGCAGGUGUAGCGGUGAAAUGCGUAGAUAUCUGGAGGAACACCCGUGGCGAAAGCGGCUCGCUGGACCGCAACUGACGCUGAGGAACGAAAGCUAGGGGAGCAAACAGG
Molecule: ribosomal RNA, 253 nt
Filed under: uncultured bacterium
Lineage: Bacteria
Description: partial 16S ribosomal RNA
Rfam family: Bacterial small subunit ribosomal RNA
Source: RNAcentral